GGCGUCGUACCCAAGUGGCUAAGGGAGCAGUCUGCAAAACUGUUAUUCACCAGUUCGAAUCUGGUCGACGCCUCAA
Molecule: transfer RNA, 76 nt
Filed under: Fidelibacterota bacterium
Lineage: Bacteria; Pseudomonadati; Fidelibacterota
Description: Candidatus Marinimicrobia bacterium tRNA-Cys
Rfam family: tRNA
About the family: Transfer RNA (tRNA) molecules are approximately 80 nucleotides in length. Their secondary structure includes four short double-helical elements and three loops (D, anti-codon, and T loops).
Source: RNAcentral